GAAAUGCAACAUGAGUGGGCUCUACUAACUUGCAGAAGAAGGUAGCUUGUUGCCACAUGUGGCUAAAAGGAUAUGAGAGUGGCUUUAUAGGAAGAGCAGAUGUAGAGUGUGAGAUGGUGCAGAUAGAUGUUCUGAACUAAAAUAUGGAAGCUGAUGGGAAGGAGGAUUAUGAACUAGCGGCAGCAUUUUCUGCAUAGCCCGUGAAGGCUUGUACAUCAGUGAGCAAACCCUGUCACUCUCACAUUUUGGCCUUGCUGCACAGAGGUUAGGGAGGAUACAGCGACAACACUUUGCACUUAAGUGUUUUUCAUCUGAAUAUCUCAAUGUGUUUUACAUUGGAAGCAAAGCAGAAGAAAUACAACUUGAGUAUUAUAAGCAACGAUGACUUGAAAAAUACAAAGGAGAAAAAAGAAAAUAGAAAGCCCCAUCACAUUUUGUGUGGUCUUAUGGUGGAGUACUCCAAGGCAGGCAUAAAAGCUCUCUCCAUUAAUUUUCUAUUUAUGUAUUUUGAUCAUAUUGAUUUUUCUCUUUAUAUUUCUCCAUCUGAAAUUGUUAUUCAGAUUGUACAUUUCAUGCUGUCAGUGCACAGAUCAGGAGUAUUUAUUAUGGCCAGAAACUUAGACAAAUCUCUCCCUCCUGCCUCCCUCCCAGUACCAACCCUGCAUGGCAGGUUUUGCUUGUAGAAAAGCUACACUUAAGUUUGGUUGCAAAACUUGCUCUUUCCAAGUGAUCAUAACUUUCCAGGAAACUUUUCUAUUGGUGUCCAGCCCAGACCAUGACACUUGCUGCUUUUCUUCUUGGUGUGUCAAUAUCAAGAUUUGGUGGGUGUCGUGACUUGCUGCCAAGUUUACCUGGCAUUAACUCAGUAGAGUUGGAAGUUGAUGAGGAGAAGAAUGAGACAGAGAUCAUUUGAGGUCAGGCAUUAUAUUUCAGGGCUCCUUUCCUGCAAAGAAAUGCAUGCAGGCAGACCUUAUAUUACCUGGGUACAUAGAGGGCAUCAUUAUAGGGUAAGGUAGGAGAAUAGUGCAAUACUCAUUUGAUUUGCUAAAUUAGCAGCCUAAUGAGUUAAACAAAAGUGAAUUGACACAAGGUGCUGUCAGUAAGGUGACGUGAACUGGGGCAGUUAUUUCUCUCCUGGAAGUGUGGUUAUGCUGUUCUUAAUAAACCACUUACCUGGUGUAGGUUCUUCUGGAGAACAGGUGAGUAGAAGAGAUGGGGUUGGCUUGGGGUAGAAGAUUUUAUUUGUGGCAAGUAGGAAAGUUUGUCAGUAGUGAAUGACACGAAAGGGAAGAAUUUUGCCAGAAGUCAUCCGGGAUAUUUUAACAGGUGUUAAUCCUAUGGAAUUCUUUUGGUAUAGGACAUGA
Long non-coding RNA from Alligator sinensis (Chinese alligator), 1364 nucleotides. RefSeq lists it as uncharacterized. Lineage: Eukaryota; Metazoa; Chordata; Crocodylia; Alligatoridae. The transcript has 3 exons. The record is from RefSeq and is a predicted model, not a curated record.